This 345-nucleotide unclassified non-coding RNA is filed under the name soil metagenome. RNAcentral describes it as "partial contains 5.8S ribosomal RNA, internal transcribed spacer 2, and large subunit ribosomal RNA". The stretch from base 1 to 120 matches the Rfam family "5.8S ribosomal RNA", at positions 35 to 154 of the family's 154-position model. The record is from RNAcentral.
GAUGAAGAACGCAGUGAAAUGCGAUAAGUAAUGUGAAUUGCAGAAUUCAGUGAAUCAUCGAGUCUUUGAACGCACAUUGCGCCCCCUGGUAUUCCGGGGGGCAUGCCUGUCCGAGCGUCAUUGCUGCCCUCAAGCACGGCUUGUGUGUUGGGCCUCCGUCCUCCUCCCGGGGGACGGGCCCGAAAGGCAGCGGCGGCACCGCGUCCGGUCCUCGAGCGUAUGGGGCUUCGUCACCCGCUCUUGUAGGCCCGGUCGGCGCUUGCCGACACAUCAAUCUUUUUUCCAGGUUGACCUCGGAUCAGGUAGGGAUACCCGCUGAACUUAAGCAUAUCAAUAAGCGGAGGA